GUUUUAAUAGUUUAAUAAAAAUUUUGAUUUUGUAAAUCUAAGAUAAGAAAUCUCUUUUAAAACU
This 64-nucleotide transfer RNA is filed under the name Ironoquia dubia. Its description in RNAcentral is "tRNA-Thr". Lineage: Eukaryota; Metazoa; Arthropoda; Insecta; Trichoptera; Limnephilidae. The record is from RNAcentral.